RNAcentral lists this ribosomal RNA (253 nucleotides) under uncultured bacterium. Its description in RNAcentral is "partial 16S ribosomal RNA". It matches the Rfam family "Bacterial small subunit ribosomal RNA", at positions 524 to 776 of the family's 1533-position model. The record is from RNAcentral.
UACAUGGGGUGCAAACGUUGCUCGGAAUUAUUGGGCGUAAAGCGCACGUAGGCGGUUUGUUAAGUCGGAUGUGAAAUCCCUCGGCUCAACUGAGGAAGUGCAUCCGAAACUGGCAAGCUUGAGUACGAAAGAGGGUCGCGGAAUUCCCGGUGUAGAGGUGAAAUUCGUAGAUAUCGGGAGGAACACCGGUGGCGAAGGCGGCGACCUGGUCCUUGACUGACGCUGAGGCGCGAAAGCGUGGGGAGCAAACAGG